AUUAAUUUGGCAGAAUGAGUGCUUUAAAUUUAGAAUUUAAUAAUGUAAAAUUUUACAGUUAAUA
This 64-nucleotide transfer RNA is filed under the name Oliarus cf. filicicola HI01081. Its description in RNAcentral is "tRNA-Leu". Lineage: Eukaryota; Metazoa; Arthropoda; Insecta; Hemiptera; Cixiidae. The record is from RNAcentral.